RNAcentral lists this ribosomal RNA (79 nucleotides) under Pseudoalteromonas shioyasakiensis. Lineage: Bacteria; Pseudomonadati; Pseudomonadota; Gammaproteobacteria; Alteromonadales; Pseudoalteromonadaceae. The record is from RNAcentral.
CUUGGUGACAAUAGCGUUUUGGACCCACCUGACCCCAUGCCGAACUCAGUAGUGAAACGAAACAGCGCCGAUGAUAGUG